CAGGCCUACACAUGCAAGUCGAGCGGUAGCACAGAGAAACUUGUUUCUUGGGUGACGGCGGCGGACGGGUGAGUAAUGCUUGGGAAUAUGCCAUAGGGUGGGGGACACAGUUGGAAACGACUGCUAAUACCGCAUAACGUCUACGGACCAAAGGGGGGAUCUUCGGACCUCUCGCCCUAUGAUUAGCCCAAGUGAGAUUAGCUAUUGGUAGGGUAAAGGCCUACCAAGGCGACGAUCUCUAGCUGGUUUGAGAGAUGAUCAGCCACACUGGGACUGAGACACGGCCCAGACUCCUACGGGAGCAGCAGUGGGGAAUAUUGCACAAUGGGGGAAACCCUGAUGCAGCCAUGCGCGUGUGUGAAGAAGGCCUUCGGGUUGUAAAGCACUUUCAGUUGUGAGGAAGGGUUGUACUUAAUACGUGCAAUCUGUGACGUUAGCAACAGAAGAAGACCGGCUAACUCCGUGCCAGCAGCCGCGG
Molecule: ribosomal RNA, 478 nt
Filed under: uncultured bacterium
Lineage: Bacteria
Description: bacterial SSU rRNA
Rfam family: Bacterial small subunit ribosomal RNA
Source: RNAcentral